Molecule: ribosomal RNA, 372 nt
Filed under: Triticum aestivum (bread wheat)
Lineage: Eukaryota; Viridiplantae; Streptophyta; Magnoliopsida; Poales; Poaceae
Description: partial small subunit ribosomal RNA
Source: RNAcentral
AUGCAAUCAUCAGCCUGCUAUCAUUAUUUUUGGAUCCAUCCACUGGUUGUUACCAUCACUCUAAAUUUCUGCAUGCUCUCCUUACACAAUCUCACCAUUGUUUUUGUAUGCAUGUCAGAUUUUGUACACAGUCAUGUUGAACAAGUAGAGAAAAAGAGAAGAGUUUUGCACAGCAAUACAAUGUCAUGCAGACAUCGCUCCAUGGUGGGUUCAAUGACAAACUCUCCCCACCCCUCUCCAGAUUGUAAUCCAGAGGAAGAUAUCUGUUCUGAGGCGGAUUCAGAUGCCGCUGACCACUUCUAUUUACCCCCGAAGGUGUUUGCUCUACCUUGGCAUGAUGAUGUUAGUCAUAUCAUGCAUAUGUUGCCUUGA